GACGAACGCUGGCGGCGUGCUUAACACAUGCAAGUCGAACGGAAAGGCCCUGCUUUUGUGGGGUGCUCGAGUGGCGAACGGGUGAGUAACACGUGAGUAACCUGCCCUUGACUUUGGGAUAACUUCAGGAAACUGGGGCUAAUACCGGAUAGGAGCUCCUGCUGCAUGGGGGGUGUUGGAAAGUUUCGGCGGAUGGGGAUGGACUCGCGGCUUAUCAGCUUGUUGGUGGGGUAGUGGCUUACCAAGGCUUUGACGGGUAGCCGGCCUGAGAGGGUGACCGGCCCCAUUGGGACUGAGAUACGGCGCAGACUCGUACGGGAGGCAGCAGUGGGGAAUAUUGCACAAUGGGCGGAAGCCUGAUGCAGAAACGCCGCGUGCGGGAUGCCGGCCUUCGGGUUGUAAACCGCUUUCGCAUGAGCCGAAGCGUGCGUGACGGUAAUGGGUAAAGAAGCACCGGCUAACUACGUG
This 468-nucleotide ribosomal RNA is filed under the name uncultured bacterium. Its description in RNAcentral is "partial 16S ribosomal RNA". It matches the Rfam family "Bacterial small subunit ribosomal RNA", at positions 28 to 507 of the family's 1533-position model. The record is from RNAcentral.